CACAGGUGCUGCAUGGCUGUCGUCAGCUCGUGUCGUGAGAUGUUGGGUUAAGUCCCGCAACGAGCGCAACCCUUAUCCCCAGUUGCCAUCAGGUAAAGCUGGGAACUCUGGGGGAGACUGCCGGUGAUAAACCGGAGGAAGGCGGGGAUGACGUCAAGUCCUCAUGGCCCUUACAUCCCGGGCUACACACGUGCUACAAUGGCAGGUACAGAGGGCUGCGAAGCCGCGAGGUGGAGCGAAUCCCAGAAAACCUGUCUCAGUCCGGAUUGAAGUCUGCAACUCGACUUCAUGAAGGCGGAAUCGCUAGUAAUCGCGGAUCAGCAUGCCGCGGUGAAUACGUUCUCGGGGUUU
Molecule: ribosomal RNA, 351 nt
Filed under: uncultured Latescibacterota bacterium
Lineage: Bacteria; Pseudomonadati; Candidatus Latescibacterota
Description: bacterial SSU rRNA
Rfam family: Bacterial small subunit ribosomal RNA
Source: RNAcentral